RNAcentral lists this long non-coding RNA (1173 nucleotides) under Marmota monax (woodchuck). Lineage: Eukaryota; Metazoa; Chordata; Mammalia; Rodentia; Sciuridae. The record is from RNAcentral.
AAAAUGAUAAUACUAACUAUAAAAAUAAAAAUUGUACAUAUCAUUUGUACAAUUCUCAAUGCAGUGAAUACACUUUGCCUUGCAAUCUGUAUUCCUGGUGACAUUUCAUUUUCAAGACAAUUCUAUGAAGUUGGAUUUCAUAAGCUCAUUUUACAGAUGAGGAGGAAGAGAGAACAGAGGACACACACAUAUAAAUGCAUGCUGCCUCUUCAUAUGGUACCCUUAUCCACCUGGGAUUCUGCCAGAAUUCCUAUCUUCCUCCCAGUGGUGGUGAAGACAAAGAUAAAACCAAACUACAGCUUCUUCGAUAGCUAUCAUAGUAAACUGUAUAAACUGAUGCAUCAAUGAAUAAUAACUCAACAAGUAAUGCUCAAUCAAGGAGUCAAUUUACUUUGGUAGGAAAUGGACAUAUUGAUAGGUUCCUCUGCUUUGAACUGCUUGCAGAACUUGCCGGGACUAUGUAUCACUUGUAUGCAUUGUGAAGUAUCUGUUGGUGCAGUGAAUUGUGGUAGUGCUGGAGUAUCUUUGCUGAUGGUGUCACCGGUGGUACAAUUUUUCCAAAGAAGCCCUCAUUUGGCUUGGUGUCCUGGUGUUCUGCAUCCUCCUCCCUUUUGCUAGUGAUGGUCUAAAAUUUGUUGGCCAACAGAGGUGAGGCAAAGAACCUCACCCCCCUACUCUCACCAAUGCCAAAUUUGGGGGCCAACAGAGGUGAGGCAAAGAUCCUCAUUCCCCCACUAGCAAAGGCCAAGUUUGGGGGCCAACAGAGGUGAGGCAAACAAUCUCACCCCCCCAAUGGUGCAUAGGCCUAUCCACAAGUAUAGCUGUAUGCUGGACUGGUAGUCAGUGACGGGUAAGAUCCAAUUGCAGUGGUACCAACCUAAGAGAGGAGGCUGAUGCUUUGCGGUCAGCUCAUCCAAUGAAGGGUAAGACCAUAUGUAGUUGGACAGCCUAACAGGCAUGGUCCCUAAGCCACAUGCAUGGUGUUUAAUUAAAGAGAAGGGGGGAGAUGCUGAGAGCCAUAGCUGAGUUGGAAUGACGCAUGGCAUUUUUGCCAGAAUGGAGUGGUGGGGAGGUGAUGCCAGCAAGCCAUUGAGAUGAUAAUGGUUAUGUUAAGCUGUGUAUUGUAUAUUAGACCCCUGCUGUCUGCCUUGGCCUGCUACUUUGGAGUUCUCA